Molecule: ribosomal RNA, 255 nt
Filed under: uncultured bacterium
Lineage: Bacteria
Description: partial 16S ribosomal RNA
Rfam family: Bacterial small subunit ribosomal RNA
Source: RNAcentral
UACGUAGGGUGCGAGCGUUGUCCGGAAUUAUUGGGCGUAAAGAGCUCGUAGGCGGUGUGUCGCGUCGGCCGUGAAAACCUGCAGCUUAACUGUGGGCUUGCGGUCGAUACGGGCAUCACUGGAGUUCGGCAGGGGAGACUGGAAUUCCUGGUGUAGCGGUGAAAUGCGCAGAUAUCAGGAGGAACACCGGUGGCGAAGGCGGGUCUCUGGGCCGAUACUGACGCUGAGUGAGCGAAAGCCAGGGGAGCAAACGGG